Molecule: long non-coding RNA, 16610 nt
Filed under: Vitis vinifera (wine grape)
Lineage: Eukaryota; Viridiplantae; Streptophyta; Magnoliopsida; Vitales; Vitaceae
Description: long non-coding RNA (VVIN_LNC001634)
Source: RNAcentral
GUGUUCAAAAAGGUCGUCAUCACAUCCAUCAUACAUCAAGAGGCCCGGCAUGGUGAUUUUCUUCCUCAUCCUGUCUGCAAAAGCCAAGACAGUUCCAUUGGGAUCAAUCUCAAAGAGCUUUUCCACUAUCUUGGUGUAAGCAGUUUCAUGGCGCUUCUCAUCUGAGGCUAUUAUGCCACAUAUUUGAGCCAAGCUCUUGUCCCCAUGUUGAUUGGCGAGCCUGGCAGUAUUGCCAUGGGAUAUGAAAGUUGCCCUUUCUUGAAAUGAAGUAUAGAUGAAUAAUAGGUACGGAUUGUUUUCCAUCUGCACAUCCUAUGAAAAGAUGGAGAAAAAGAACUUGAGUUCAAGAACUAGUGAAGAUUGUGACUGACUUUAGAAAAAACCGAGUACUAAAGAAACUAGUGAAAAUAUCUUUACCAUAGAAGAAGACCCAACCAAAAGGAAAGAAAAACACAAUUCGAUUUGAUGUUUGUAUCUAAUCUUUUUAAAGAUGUUUGCCCAAAACCCAGCUGACUGAUUACAAGUCCUGAAAUUUUAGACCUGGUUUCUUGUCAGCUACAUCAAGCAAGUGUUGUGUAAUGUGUCUAUCAAUUUCAAAUCCACCUUACGUCUUACCAAAAUCUGUCACUAUAUUGUGGUUUUGGAGAUAAAACAGUAAAAAAGUAUGCAGCAAGAAUCUCACCAUUCCAGCCCUAAUCAAAUACUGGAUUGUCUUCUCAAUUUGUUUCAUAUCUACUCUUCCAGACAGAUAGAGAUACUUAUUAAGAAGGUCACCGUGCCUGUUCUCUUCAGCGGUCCAUGCCCUUGUCCAAGUUGCCCAUGAGCUGGGGCUUGCCCCUGUUUCAUCACGAAUUCCAUCAGUGAUAUUGAUCUGUGUUUGGUAAGUUGGAAGGGCUUCUUCAGUGAUCAUAUCUCCAACCAAAACAACAAAGUAGUCAUCCGGGGUCCCCUUAGCUCCUUGACUCGCUCAUGAAAUCCAUCAGAUGCAGGAUCAGGCAGAAGGUCCUGAGGUUGCCAACAUUUCUCAACUGGCUUCAGGUGAAUUAAAACGUUCUCCUCAACCCAAUUCUCCAUGGAUUUGAAAAUCUCAAUCUUGUGUGGUGGCAUUGAGUGGGUUACUUGAAUCUUGUGAGGAGAGCUAAAAGUCUUCUUAGUAACCUCCCUACAUUAAACAGAAGAAAUUUGGAUUAGGUACUUACAGUUCGGAUCCGUCUUUUCACAAUGGUUAGAAUGAAACAAUGAACAUAGACACUUGUCAUUUUCUACUAGAUGGUAUGAACAUUCCGUAAACUUUCGUAAGAAGUGAAGAACACACUCACCUGGACACAGAGCGGUGCAUGGAGGCCACGGAGAAUUUGGGAGAUGUAUGAUAACCCAUUUGCAGGAAAGUAAAAGAAAGCAAGGGAUUCAAAUUGAGAGCCAUUUUCUGACUUCACUUCCUUGUACUCUGGACGAUAUAUAUAUGACAGGCAACCUGGAAAACAACUUACGUGGUUGAAUUGAACUAAUUGAAUGGAGGAGGCCCACGCAUUAAAAGAAUACCAACAUAUGGCUUUAAUAAGUAAUUAGCUCUUAUGCCGAAAAUGGAAUAAGUUUGAGAGUGAUUUUAGAAAAUAUUUUUAAUAUUUAAAUGAUAAAAUUUCAAAUUAAAAAUAUUUUCUACAAUUACUAUUAAACGAAUUCAAUGAAGAUAUAAUUUAAAUGUUCUUUAAAUAUACUUCUUUAUUUCUAUUUUUAGAAACAUAAACAAUAACAACUUUACAUAUAAUAUAAGAGUUAGUAGAGACUUAUUUUAAAAGCAAGAUAGUUUUUAAAAACAUAAAAUUUUAUUUUUUAUGUAAUGGUUAAAACUUAAAAUUUAUUUCAAAUUUAUUUUUACAUUAGUUUUGAAUCUAAUUUUAUUUUAAGAUUUGAAAUUUGAUUAUAUUUGAAUUUUUUUUUACUUACUCGUACCUUUUAAUUCUUAUUUUUUAUUUUUUUUAUUUUAUAUAUUAUUUUACUACUAUUUUUCUUUUAUCUUUUUUUUUUUCCCUCCCUCCUCUUUCUUCCCACUUACCCCACAGAAGCACUCUCUCUCUCCCCAACCUCCACUCCUCACGGCCAGAGAACACCCAUUCUCUCUCCACUUUUUACCAUUUCAUUCUCUUUUCCUACCCUUUUUCAUUUUCAUUUUCUUUUCUUUUUCUCUUCCCUCUUCUUCCUCCCCCAACCAUUUUACCCACUCAUCCACACACGGCAGAGACCUCCCAGACUCUCUCUUCUCCCCUCUUCUUUCCCUUUCCCUUUUCCUUUCCAUUUUUUCUGUCAAUUCCUCCUUCCAUUUUUUACCCUACUCUCCCUCCAGCCACACACCACCCAUCUCAAGCACGGCACCCUUUUUCCCCCUCCCAUUUUCUGGUUCCCCUUUUCUUCGUCAUUUUCUUUCUUUUUCCUAUUUAUCCCACCCAAAACCCAUUUUUGCCGCCCCACCAUCUCCCUCCUCCCCCAUUUUUUUUUCCCUCUUUAUUUCUUUCCCUCUCUUCUUUCUCUCUGUCCUAAAACCCACAACUCCCAAACCCACUGCACUAGGGCUUCGUGAGGUAAAAUUUUUAUUUAUUUUAUUUUGUUUUAUUUUGCUUUGUUUUUAUUAUUAUUGUUGUUGUCAUUAUUAUUAUUAUUUGAUUUCUGCAAUGGUUCGAGUAUUUUGGGUUUGCUUAAUUUGUUUAGUUAUUUAUUUAUUAAAUUAGGCUUGGUUUUGGUUGUAAAUUCGAUUUGGGGUUUAGAUUAUGAGAUAUUAAAUUAAGGUAUAAUUAAUUUUAUUUUGUUUUAUCAUAUUUGUUCUUGAUUGAAUGUGCUUUAAUUUUGGCUCUAAAUUUGGAGAUUUUGGAUAGGGCUUAUAACAUGGAGAAUAUUUCUCUUGGAUUCAUUUUUAUUGGCAAAAUUUAUUUGAUCAAUUUAAAGUUUUAAAUUUAGGAAUCAAUAUUUGUUUUGAACUUUGUGCAUAAUUUUAUAUUUAUAUUUGAACUCAAUUUUUUGUUUUGCGUGUGCCAUGGGCAUUGAGCUUGAGCUUGUUAAGAGCUUAUUUUGGUAUAUAUUUUAUUUUUCUAUUUUUUUUAUUUUAUUUCUAUCCGUUCUUAUAAUUAUUAUUUAUGUAUAUAUUUGUUGGGUGUAUAGAGAAUUAAGCAAUUAAUAGUUCAGAAAUUUUGUUUUAAUAAAAGAAACAGUUCAUUAAUUACGUUUUAAUAAAAACAAUAGUUUAGAAAAUAUUUUUUUAAUAAAUAAAAGUUUUUUAAAUAAAAAUUAAAAAAAAUGCUUUUAGGAAAAUGCAAAAAAAAAAAUUGUUUUUAAUAAAAUUCCAAAAAUUAUUUUUAAUAACAAUUGUUUGAAAAUUUAUUUGAUUAAUAAAAAUUGACCAAAAAAAAUUAUUUGAAAAAAUGGAGGAUUAAAUUUCCAAAAUGGGUAAGAACUUUUUAAUCAAAUAACCAUUUUUUGAAAGCAUUUCCAAUAAAAGAGUUAUUAACAUAAAGACAAAGAUAAAAAGCAAUUUAAUCACAAAUCACUCUUAAACUAACUCGAAAAUAUAUAUAUAUAUAUAUAUAUAUUUCAAAAACAGUUUUUAAAAAUUAUUCUUUAAUAUUUUAUAAAAUAAAUAUUUGUUUGAAAAUUUAAAAUGUUUUUAAAUAUGUUUUGAAAAAAAAAAGUAUAGAGAUUUGUUUUUAACCAUUCUUAAUAUUUGUAUAAUUAUUUUUUAAAGGAAUUUUUAUAAAAUAAGUGAAAAAAAUUAAAAGAUGAUUUAAAUAAUUUUUUUUAUAUUGUUAAACGUAUUUUUUUAUUUUUUUUAUUUUGAAUAGAAAAUUGUUAUGAAUAAAAAGUGUAUAUAUAUUAAAUCAUUUUUAAAUAGAUGAAGAUAAUAUUGAUUUUAAAAUUUUGUGGUUUCUUUUUAUAUAUAUAUAUUCAUAUUAAUGAUUUAAAAGUUAAAACUUAUUUUCCCCAAAAAUAAAUGUCACUACCUAUCAACUAAAAUAUUUGUCUCAAAUUAGCUAUGAGGUGGGAGGCGACGGUUUUCAUUGAUUCCAUUUGCAUUUAUUUCUCGCCUCCCUAUUUCGAAAUAUAUUAAUGGAUUCCACCUACUAAAAAAUAAAUGGACAAUUCAUUAAUAAAUGUAAACUUAUUCUAAUUAAUGGAUUUUACUUGUAAUGUCCUAAAUAUCAAUUAAUAAAAUAAUAAUAAUAAAUCUAAAAAAUGAAACAUUUAGGUGGAGAGCGGAGUUGUCAAUUAAUAUUGAUGGCAAGAUAAAUUACAUAAGUAUUUUAAGAAAAUAUGUGAUGACUCUAUAAAAUGUUGAAGUGUUUCAAAUUGUUUUUAAAUAAAUAAAGAUAAUUCUUGAUUUAAAAAAUUUAGUAUUAUUUUUUAUUACGGAAUCAAAACCCACUUUUUCCUAUUUAGAAAUUAAUUUAUUAUAAUCCUAAAAAAUGUCACUAUCCAAUGCUAGGGUACCAUAUUUAGUGAAUUUUUUGUUUGGAUUUUGUCAUUUUCAUUUGACACACUUUUUCCUAUUUAGAAAUUAAUUUAUUAUAAUACUAAAAAAUGUCACUAUCCAAUGCUAGGGUACCAUAUUUAGUGAAUUUUUUGUUUGGAUUUUGUCAUUUUCAUUUGACAAAAUCGGGGUGAAUUUUGUGGUCAUAGAUAGACGUGCUUCUCUAUAUAUUUAAUGAGUGUUAGAUAUAUAGGUAUGAAUAAAGGAGAGACUAGAUGAGAGUAAGAUCUAGAUGGAAAAGCUUUAAGUUAUGUUUGGUUCUCGGAAAAUAAUAAAAAGAAAAUGUUAAAGAAAAUUAUUUUUUCAUGUUUGGUUUCAAUAUGAAAAUGAGAAUGAAAAUCAAAUCUAAUUAAAAUUAGAUAAAAACUUAUACAUUUUAAAAUUAUUUAAUUCUUAUAUAAAAAUGAAAAAAUAAAAUAAAUAAGUUUGAAGUAGCAUAUAAAAUAUUUUAUUGAUUUUAAAUCUGUUUUUCUAUUUUCUUUUACUGUUUUUACAUUUUUUUUUUCCUUCGUAUUUUUUCUCAUAUUUUUUUAGAAUCAAAUAUAGUCUUAGUAAUUAUAGGGAAGGAAUCAUGGGGAUUUUGAUGGAAAAGAAAUAGAGAGAAAGCAAUUGCUCUACUCAGUCUCUUUAAGGUGGUAGCAAUAUUGGAAUUACUUGAGAGUUUCUAAAAAAAUAGUAGAUAUUUGAAAAUUGUUUUAGAAAAUAUGGCCAAACAGGUCUUUAUGUUCUUAAAAAUCGUUUUUAAAAAUUUUAAAAUUUGAGAUAAUAAUUUUUUUUAAUACUUUAAUUUUUCAAACAAUUUUUAAAAACUAUCAUAUUUUAUGUUAAAAUUAUUAUUAUUACUAAUUUUAAAAACAUAAAUGAAGAAGUAUAUCUUAACAAUUUCUAAUUCGUAUCUAAAUUAUAUUAAGUUAUUAAAUCAAUCUAUGGAAGGAUGUCUUAGAUAGUAUCGAAAACAUGGAGUGAAUGUCAUUUUCAUUGUUGACAAAAGCAUAUGAACUUGACAAGACCUGCCACAUGAAAAAUGAUAUCCAUGACAAACGUUAUUCAUGUUCGCACUUUAAAGCCUUCAACUCCGGCCUAUGAUGGAAAGAUGAUAAAAAAAAAAAAAAAAAAAGAUGGGUGAAUGAACUACUCCCAAAUAUAUCGAGACUCGGUUUGAAAGUGAUUUUAAAAAGGAUUAGAAAACAUGAUGAAUUGUUUGGUAACGAUUUGAAAAUUUUGAUAAGGGUUGAAAUUUUUUUUUAAUAUUUGAAAAUGGUUGUUUUUUUUUGUUUUUUUUUACUAAAAUCAAGAAUAUAUUUAUUAAGGUUCUUGAAAACAAUUCUUGACCGUAGAAUAUAAAGUUAGAAAAGUGUUUUAAAUGGAAACUUUAUUAAAAAAUAUAUAUAUAUUUUGUAUCAUUUGUUAAUAGUGUUUCUAUUAGAACAGUUUUUAAAAGAAUUAUUUUUUCUAAUAUUUAGUUUUUAAAAAAAUACAAGGAAAAGAAAAUAAUAUAUAUAUAUAUAGAUUUAAAGUUGACAAAUUAUAUUUACAAUUUUUUUUUAAAAAAAAAAAUCAUUUCAUUUAACAAAUUAUUUUCAUCUCUUGGCUUGAUUGGUGCUUAAUUAUUUAUUGAGACCAUCAUUAUAAUUUUUAAAUGCAUGAGCCUCAAAACUCUAAUCCCUUGUUUGAGAACUAUUUUUAAGAAUAAUUUUCUAUUUUUUAGAAACAAGAAACUACUUUUUGUUUUCUGAUAGCAAAAAAUAGAAAACAUGGUAUUUUGAAAAAAUAUCUUUUAGUUGUUUUCACUUGUUUUUUUAUAAUUAUUUUAAAAAAUAAUUAUAUAAAUAUAUAUAAUAAUUAAAAAUAAAUUUAUAGAUAUAAAAAUAUUUUUAAAACAUAUUUAAAAAUAUUAAAAAUAUAUUAAAAACAUAUUAAGUUAUCAAAUAGAUUUUUGUUCUAUAAAAUAUCAUAGAACAGUUUUAAAAAAUUAUUCUUAAAAACUAUUUUUUAGAACUAUUUUAAUUACCAAACAAACCUUAAUUUGUUAUUGUCUCGUUCUUGUGCUCAAUUAAUUCAGCCUCACAAAUUGUUUGGUAAGUAAGAAAAUGGGAAAGAAAGAUACCGUGAAAUUCAUGCAAAGAGGUGAGGGUCAAGUGGGAUAUCCUCUUGGCAAGUGGCUCGUUAUCCACAUGCCAUCUACAAGCCUAUUGCCCAAACCACAAUAAUUAAAUAAAAAUAAAAUAAAAUAAAAAACCUAAUACCCAUUUGAGAGUAGUGACAAUCUUUUUUAUUUUUUAUUAAACAAAUAAUAUCAAUUUAUACUAAAUAAUGUUUUGACAUCCAAAUCAAACCGAUCAAUCCAAUUGAUAAUUACUAGGCUUAAAUGUCCAAUAUAUUAUAUAAAAACUCAUAUAAAUACAUAUAAUUGUCAUAGAAAAACCGAUUUGAUCUCAAUAAUAUUUUAAGGGUGAUAUUAUUAUAUAAAUUUUAAAAAUUACUUAAAAUAAUUCUUUAAUUAACACAAUAUAUAUUUUUAUGUUUAAUCUAAAUACCAAAUUAUUCUCCAUAAAAACAAUCCUAAUAGAAGUGCCAUUGAAAAUAAAGCUUUUACUAGGAUCAUUAACAAACAAGCCUUUAAACCAGUGUUUGUUCUUUUGAAGGAUUGAUAUUGCAUUAAUUGAACCUCCAUAACUGAUAAGUUCUUUUUGCGUACCAAAAUCUUGUUCAUUAAUUAAUUAUACAAGAAAGUCUUUCACAACAUCAAUUUCCACGAGUGAAAAAUUGACAACAACUUUGAUGGAACAUUUGGGUUUAAUUUAUUCAAGUAUGAAGUAUGCUUGUUUGGCAAGUGGGAAAAUGAGAGAAGAUAUGAGCAUCAUAGAGCCCAUGCAAACAAGUGAAGGUGACAAGUGUAAUAUCCUCUUCGCCACUUGCUCAUGUUCCUCAUGACACCUCUCUCUCUCUCUCUCUCUCUCUCUCUCUCUCUGCCCCUGUUUUGCUCAUCUCUGUGGACCCUAAUGUAGCUCUUAGCUAGUGAUGUCACGUUUUUCUUUUAUAUAUAAUUUUUUUUUUCUCUUCUACAUUUUUAACCCACCUUUGAUACCCAAAUGAUAUAUUUUUAGUAUUUUUAUUAUAAAAAUAUUAAUAAUUUGUGAAAAUCAUUUAUCAAAAACAACAAAAAUAUGAUGCAAAUUUUCAAUUAGGUAAAAAUAAAUUUAUACAUUAUGCUAUCUCAAAAAAAUCUACUAAAAAUAUUGAUAAAAAAUAUUGAAGUUGUUCAAUGUUUGAUAAUUAGUUUGGAGAAUAGUUUUUUAUUUUUUAGAAAAAAAAAAAAAGAAAACACUUUUCUCAAUUAAAAAAUAUUUUUUAUUUUUUAUUCUUAAUAAUAGAAAAUAUAGUGUUUUUAAAUAAUAUUUUUUAAUUAUUUAAAAAUAAUAAUUAUAUAAAUAUGUAAAAUAAUUAAUAAAGAAUAUUUUUUAAAACAUAUUUAAAAAGAUUAAAAAUAAAUUAAAAAUAUUUUUAGUUAUUAAAUAUACAUUUAUUUCACAAAUCAUCAUAAAACUGUUAAAACAGUUACCAAACAUGUCAAUUUUUUUAAUUUUUAAAAAUAAUUUUACUUUGAAUGUUUCUUUUCAAAUAAUUUAAAUCUUUUAAAUGUGUGAAAUAAUUUUUAUUGAAAUAUUCAAAUAAUAUAAAUUUUAAAAUAAUUAAUAAAAAAAUAUUAUAAAUUAUAUAAUUGGUCUCAAUCAAAUGCCUGAAAAAAAAAAUUGGUUGAAUUAGUUGGUAGAUUAUUAGGUAGGAAAUAAUCAAAUAACCAACUUUUUUUUUUCAAAUUAGGGCACAAAUUUCAAUAUCCAUAAAAAAUGUGAAUAAAGAAAUAAAAUAAGAAAUUAAGAUAAAAAUAAAUAUUUUAAAAUUCAAAUGAAAAAUAUUUUCCUUACAAUCUUCUCUUAUUAAAUUGCAAAGUACUUUUUUCAAUUGAAAAAAAUUAUUUUCAUAUAAAAAUAAUUAUAGAUAAAACCCUUUAAAAAUAAUUUAAAUUUUAUGUAUCAAUAAAAUAUAAUAUCUAAAAUAGUCAAAAAUAAUAUCUAUAUCAUUUAAAUUUUAUGUAUCAAUAAAAUAUGAUAUCUAAAAUAGUCAAAAAUAAUAUCUAUAUCAUUAAAAGAUAAUAUCUGAAUCGUCAAAAUAAUAUUUUGAUAAAAAAAAAUAUGAAAUAUUAAUUAUUUUUAAAUAAUUAUUUAAAAUUUAUAUUUAUAAAUUUAAGUUUGUAUUUUUUAAUUUUUUUAUAUGAAAGUAUGAAAACAUAUUUUUCUGAUUUUGACGUUAUGGAAAUCUAAAUAAAUAGAUAGAUGUUUUUCAAAAAUUAUAUGAUAAUGUCUAAAACAUAAUAAUUAUUUUUAUAAUUUUUAAAUUACCGAAAAUUUCAAAAAAGAAAAAAGAAAAAUGAAAAAAGAAAGGUGAUGUGAUUUUAAUGAAAAGGGAUCCGCUAUAAAUAGACACAAAAACCAUUCAGUGGAUCCGAAGGCCCCUGUCCCUCCCCUCUUCCUUCCCUUCUGUGGAGGAAACUGAACCUAAGGCCAAAAGCCUCAGCAGCUCAAACCUCUCUCUGUCUCAAGAACAAAUGGCUCUCCAACUCAAUCACCUCUCCUUCCAAUUCCACAAGUUCCCUUCCUUUUCUCUCCCUCCAAUGGCCAGCAUCAGAUCUCCCACCGUCUUCAUGGCCUCCACUCUCCGCUCUGGCUCCAAGUCAGUCUCUUUUCUGCUCCUCUAUUCUGCUGUUUUAAUGGAUCUUCUCAUUCCUUCUUGUUCACCUCCUGUUUUUGGAUCUGGUUUCUGUUUUUUCCCUCUAAUUUGGUCUCUGAAUGCAUUAAUUCUUCAUGGGUUGUCGUUAUCUCGUUGUUUUCUUUCUGGGUUUUCUGCUUUUUUUCCCCUCUAAUUUGGGUUGGAGCUGCAUUGAUUUUUCAUGGGUUUCCGACUCUUGCUGUUUUGUUAUCUGGGUUUUCUGUUUUUAAUCUUCUAAUUGUGUUCAUUGAGAUGUGUUUGGUGUUGAUUUUCCUGGUGGGGUUUUUCCUUUUUGUUAUUGAUUUUGUUUCUUAAAUGUUUUUUUUUCUCGCUCGGGUUUUCUGCUUUUCUUCCCAAACUUGGACAAUUUGAGCUGGGUUUCAUUAAUUUUUCAAAAAUAUGUAUUUUUUUUGUUGGGUUUGAUUCAUGCUCAUGCAUGUUACCAGAAAUCUGUGCAGUUUGAGGAAUUCACAGUCCUAGUUUAUGUACCGGCAGAUUCUCGUUCGGAAAUUCAUGUUCUCUUGCUUUCAUUCAUAUGAUUUUUCAAACAGUUUUGAUUCCUAAAAUGUGUUUAUGCAUUCACUUGAUUUCAUCAUAUGAAUAAAUCUGUGUUUUUAUUUGAAUUUAUAGCCCGGAUGCAUUUAGCUCAGAUGAUGAUUGCUGAUGUGUUGCCUUUGUUUCUUCCAGUUUCUUCACUUUGCCCUCUUUCUUAUUUUCAAUUUGGCAGAUGGAAUUGUCUACUUUAUUACGUGUUUCUGUUUGUGGUUUCUGGUCUAUGUUUGUGGGCGGUUUACUGUUUCUCUUUGUCAUUUUUCAGUUUGGUGGGGAAGGGGUGCUUGGGAUAUUUCUUGUACUCAUAUUAUAAUUUGAGAACAGCACCAAAUCAUCACUGUGAAUGAAUUGGUUGUUUAAUUGUUGAGAUUUGGUUUUGAUUUUUUUAAGUGCUUUUGUGUUAGCUGGAUAGUCUUGAUUGACUCAUCUAAUUUCUUUAGUUCUUAGUUCAUGCAUGCCUGAUUUUUGUAUGUCUUAUUCAUACAUAUUUAUAUUUUAUUCUUAGUGGAAAAGCCUGGAAGAACUCGUCUUCUGAACAACUUUUAGUAAUGGCUGAGUUGAGUUCUGCAGCUUUUUUCUUUUCUUUUCUUUUUUUUUUCAAUAUAGUUUGGGUCAUUUUCUGGCUGGUAAAAAAUUCAGGGACUGCAAAGUCGUCCAAUUUUGGUUUCUUGCGGGUUGCGUCGGUGCAACGUGCUAGUGGUUUUUCUUUACACCUUGAGGCUUGUCGGUGCAUGCUUGCUUUUGUGUCGAAGAGGCGUUAUGCUCUAGGCUGAGUUUAUGGGUUUUUGUUUGGUAGUUCAAUUGAAUUAACAUGUUCACGUGGGAUUUUGUUUUAAGGUGUUAACUUCUACUUCAUUUCCGUUUCCAUUUCCUGAGUUUGUCCAAUUCCGAGUAUAAACCAUAUAAAAAAACGCUCAUAAGUUAAAAUUUUCUUAUAAAAAAUUCAUGUAAUAUACUUAAGAGUCCGUUUAGUUGUGAUUUUUGGAAGCGUUUUUAAUAUUUUUAAUACUUGAAAAUUUUUAUCAUUCGGUGUUAUAAAUGCUAAAAACACUUUCUAGAAUCACUCUCAAACGCACUUUUACUUGUAUUAUUUCAAUUUGUUUAUUGCGAUGUUUUUUUAAUGGGCUGAUGAUGAUUUGAACACAUUUGAAUUUCGUACUGAGCAGGCUGAUCAAUGAAAUUGCAUUGCUUGCAUUAGUUUUUUAGGUGGUGGAUCUUUGACCUUUUUUCAAAUUUUUAGAAGUGUUUCCUAAAUUUUGCCAAACACUUUAUUUAUUUUCAAAAACACUUUUUAGAUUAAUAAUGUUUUUUAAAACCAGUUCCAAAUAGACUUUUCGAAUAUGUUUGACAAUGUUUUUAUUUGAAGUGUUUUCUCUAGAGGUGUUUUUAGGAAAAUCACCUAUCAAAUAUUUUUCCAGAAAAUAUUACAAGUGAUUUUUAAGAUUUCUAAAAAUGCUUCCUAAAUUUUACUAAAUACCCAAUGUUUUUUUAAAAGCACUUUUUAGGUUAAAAACAGUUCUUAAAAUCACUACCAAACGAACUCUUAGUGAGCUAUUCCCAUUCUGAUCAAUAUUUGGGAUGGAAAUCAAGAUUAUUUAAUUCAUGGGCUGCCAUUAGAAGGAUCACACAUUAGUAUUAAGCCAAUGAAGGAUAUCUAUGCAUUUGACCAACCAUUUUUUACUAAUAUUAUUCAUGGUAAAAGUGAUUUCUCUGAUGGUAUAUGAAGAAAUGGCAACUUGCUUUAAACAAGUUGUUAUCUCAUCCAUGGCAUGGGCAAGGAUCUAAGCGAUUUGGGCAUGGUUUGAAUCUUAUGUGAGUCUAAGAGGAUCAUAUUUGGUGCUUUUGGGAUUUCACUAGAGCCACCACGAAUAUUUAUAGAUUAGAUGACUUAUUCCUUUCAUGAUUAUGUAUUAGAUGACCUAUAAAAAAAAGAUUAUGUAUUAGAUGCCCAACAGUGUCAUUAUAGCUAAUUUGAUAGCUUAGAACUUUAGAUGUCUUUGAGUCCGUGCAAAUCAAUCUUGUGUGUGAUGAUGUGAUGAAGGAACAUUGGGUGGUUUGGUAGGAAUUCCAUCCAUGGAAAAUCAAGCAUCUUUAUCCUCAUUGUCUUUCUUAAGCAACACAUUUUGUGUAAGAGUAAACAGUGGCAAGGAGGAAAUACCCUUAGAAGAGCAUACCAAAUAUCAAUGUUAAAAAUUACAGAUUUUGGUUGCCACUUUUCACUUUAUUUUUCAAAAAACAUAAACAUUUUAUAGAUUUACCCAUUAAAAGUAGCCAUAUUAUCAUCAUUGGCCACCUACCGAGCCCUUAGAAAAGUAUUCUAUCCAUCAUAAGCUGGCUGCUUGGUUAAGAUGCAGCUUUACACCCCUUUGGUCGACAAUAAAUUCCUCCAAGGGAGGCUACGUCUUUUCUAUGAUCUUCUUGUGCUAGCUGGUGUAUUCAAAGUGUUCUCUGAAUUUGGCAUGACUGAAACAUUGAAGAUUGAGAGAUUAAUUUCCAUGAUGUCAGUGUAGAACAAAAAUGGGCCCUCCUAUCGGGGCUAAAAUUUGGCAUAAUCAUUUGAAUUCAAGGAUUGCUGGACUGAUUUUGAUCAUAUGAUAGGAGAAUGAUCUCGACUAUGUUGGGAGAUGCAUUGUCAUUUGAUUUUGAAAUUUAUUCUUUUGCAUUUAUAAAGAGCAUGUUUGGAACUUUGGAUCAGUUAUCAUGUACAUGAGAUCCCUUAAAUAUGCUGCAAUGUAUUAUACUUGUAAUAUGGCAGUGUCUGAACCUUUUGAAAAACCAAACAUCUGAACAGUAAGUACCUAAUCUAAAUCUCUUCUGGUUAAUGCAGGGAGGUUGAGAAUCUCAAGAAGCCUUUUAGCCCUCCUCGGGAGGUUCAUGUUCAAGUGACCCACUCCAUGCCACCCCAAAAGAUUGAGAUCUUCAAAUCCAUGGAGAAUUGGGCUGAGCAGAACAUUUUGGUUCACCUGAAGCCAGUUGAGAAAUCUUGGCAACCACAGGAUUUUCUACCAGAUCCUGCUUCUGAUGGAUUCCAUGAACAAGUCAAGGAACUAAGGGAGAGGGCAAAGGAGCUUCCAGAUGAUUACUUUGUUGUUUUGGUUGGAGAUAUGAUCACUGAAGAAGCCCUUCCAACUUACCAAACAAUGCUUAAUACCUUGGAUGGGGUUCGGGAUGAAACAGGUGCAAGCCUCACCUCUUGGGCAAUUUGGACAAGGGCAUGGACUGCAGAAGAGAACAGGCAUGGUGACCUUCUCAACAAGUACCUAUAUCUGUCUGGACGAGUAGACAUGAGACAAAUUGAGAAGACAAUUCAAUAUUUGAUUGGAUCAGGAAUGGUAAGUUCCUUCACAUGAACAUUUGAAAGGUUUUAUCUCUAAACUACUUUAAGCAGUUAAACUUUGCAAAACUUUUGAAAUGAGGAAAUGAUGGGAGGCUUGGUAAGUGGUAUGGUGGGAUCCUGGAUAAGGUUGCAUGAGCAAAAUUUUUAUGCUGCUCCAACUGUAUCCUGGAUCAAGAUUAAGACGUGUUUGACAGUGGAAGAUAUUGAAUCAAGAUCUUGGCUGGAUCUGAAGGAUAUCCUCAAUGUCUUCUAGUCCAUUCAUUUGCAUAUUCAUGAAAACACUUCUGAAGCUUAAAAUGAUUAGAUAGUUAUUUACAUCCAAACUUUUUCCUUGCGAAGAUGCCCUCUAAAUAAUAUUUUCUUCUGUUGGUGGUAUGUUUUACUUCUGGCAGUUGUUCCAUGUCCUUUUGUUCAUUUUGUUUGGAGCAGAUGUUACAUAAUCCAUUGAUAGCAGAGGGGUUUAAAUCACCAAAAGGAAGGGAUAUAUAUCUAUUCUGUGAUUUUUGUUCCUGUGGAAGUUCUGAAUUUGAUUUCUUAUCCUCCCAUCAUUUUAUAGGAUCCACGGACAGAGAAUAGUCCCUACCUCGGGUUCAUCUACACUUCAUUCCAAGAAAGGGCGACAUUCAUCUCCCAUGGCAACACUGCCAGGCAUGCCAAGGAGCAUGGGGAUAUGAAGUUGGCUCAAAUAUGUGGUACAAUUGCCUCAGAUGAGAAGCGCCAUGAAACUGCCUACACCAAGAUAGUCGAAAAGCUCUUUGAGAUUGAUCCUGAUGGAACUGUACUGGCUUUUGCUGACAUGAUGAGGAAGAAAAUCUCUAUGCCUGCUCACCUGAUGUAUGAUGGCCGUGAUGACAACCUCUUUGAUCACUUCUCAGCAGUAGCCCAGCGGCUGGGAGUCUACACUGCCAAGGACUACGCCGACAUACUGGAAUUCUUGGUGGGCAGGUGGAAUGUGGAGAAGCUCACUGGACUCUCUGGUGACGGGCGAAAAGCACAGGACUAUGUUUGCGGGUUAGCCCCAAGAUUCAGAAAGCUGGAGGAAAGAGCGCAAGGAAGAGCCAAGGAAGCACUCACCAUUCCUUUCAGCUGGAUUUUUGACAGAGAAGUGAAGCUGUGAGAGCCAGGUCAGGCAUACACUCUCCAUCGAAUCCUCCCCCCGCUUCUUACACAGAACACAAACAGAGGUAGAAGUUUCCCAGUUGCAUUUUCGUCUGCUAUUCCAAUUUCGCUUUGUUGAAGGGUUGUAGAUACAGUUGUUUUCAGUUGCAUGGUUCUCCUACAGGGGGCAGUUGUCGGUUCUUUUUUUCUUUGUUUCUUUUUCAAGUUCUAUGUUCUGAAUGGCCCUUAUGUACAAGUUUGUGUUCAUCCAAUAGUAAGUAGUAAGUCUUUGCCUCUUUGGUCCUUUGUUGUCCUUUUGAGUGUAAGUGAAACGCUGUUUCCCUCUCUAUUGCAAUUUUGAUGAUCAAUCCCAUGCACUGCAACUUGAUCAUUUUUUUGGGGUUUUAGAAAUCUGGGUUUUGGUGGUUGGUAUGCUUAAAAGUUUAUGAAACCCAGAUCGUGUGUGGAUGUUUCUGUAGAAAGAGUGGAAGAUACAUGGAGGUCUUGAACUGGGCACUCAGGUCUGAAUGCUUCUUGUCAUGUCUUGUUAAACUAAAAACAUUUUCAGCUAAAUGGCUCCCACAAGUGUUCUUUGCAACAACCAUGAAUACAGAUUUCAUUUUGAAGGUCAAAUAAAUCCUGUUUGGAUGAAGGAAUUUAAAAAGAUUUUUAUGAUGCAAAAUCAUAUGCUGAGAAAAUUAUUAGGGUUAGAUAGAUAACCUAGGCUCACUUCAAGAAGAGAAUUAUUACACCUCUAUUAAAGUUUGGUGUAAAUAUACUUAAAUUUUGUUAAUUAGCAUCCUUAUAAAUCUAUUUUAUUUUAUUUUUAAAGAGAUUCUAAGUAAAAUUAUUUUAGAUACAAGUGUUUAACAAUUCUCUAAAAAUUAAAUUUUAUUCUUUAAAUGUUUUUAUGGAUAAAAUUUGAAAUCUAUGAUGACUUAAUGUCUUUAUAUUAAACUUAAGGGGUCUCAAUGAAAUUAAUCGUUUUAUUUAGGAUUGCAACUUGAUCGGAUUAAAAGGUAGCACCUAACUCGGGUUUUUAAAUAAAAAAAAUUAAAAUAAGCAUUUUUAUUUAAAUAAAAUAAUCAUUUCAAAGCUAUAAAGCAUAGUCAUAUCUAAAUAUAUUUCAAAACUAUAAAACAUAUCAUUAGAUACUACUAAACAUAAGUAUCAACUAUAACCUCAAGUUUCAAAUGCUUUUCAAUAUCUAUAAAUUCAAAUUUCAAAUACUUUUCUAAUUCCAAUUUGAACAAAAAUUGAAUGAAAAUAUUUCCUAAACUUGGUUAUGUUUGGUUCAAAAAGCUUAGUAAAGAAAAAAAUUUUUUUUUUUGUUUGGUAAAAAAAAUAAAAUAAACAUAAUUAAAAUUAGUUAAAAAUUAAUGUAUUUUAUAAUUAUUCAAUUUUUAUAUCAAUGACUUAAAAUAAAUAUAAUUUUUAUAUAAUUAAAGUAAACAAAUACUUUUUGCUUUUUAUAUUUUUUCUCCCUUUAUCCAUUUUUCACUUUUAUAAUUCAAACCGACUAAUAAAAUUAAAAAAUAAUAAAUAAAUAAUUAGUUUGGGCUUCCAUGAGUUGGUAAUGCCCUUAACCCACACACCAGUGGAUUACCCAAUUUACAUAUCGGUGGAGGGAUUAAUCUAUAUCAUUUAUUUCGUCAUUUCAAUUUCAAUCUUACAUUUUUCCUCCAUAUCUAUUUUCCCUUAUUUUCGCUUAUUCUCUCGACAAUCAAACAUAGUCUGUUUCACUUCUUAAUCUUUUGUUCAAAAUAAUUGAAUUAAGAUAUAUAUAAACCAGACAACGAUUGCCUCCCAAACAAACAAAAAUCAAAUUAAAUAAAAAUUUUCUGACUUCUUAUUUUAUUAAAAAUCGAAGAAAAAAAAUAAUGUGAAAAACCUAAUCUUAAAAGGAAAAAAUGCAUUCGCAUUAAAUCGGUAGGUAAAUCUACCUCAAUCUUUAUUUUUAUUUUUUAUUUUUAAAAAUCAAGUGGAGAAGUGAAAAUCGAAUGUAGCGACUUGUUCGAGGCCAUGAUCAAAAUAAAAAUGAUUGACAGGCACGGAGAAUCGCCAUUUUUCCUUAUCGCCAACCUUCAAGGCAAAUUGCGUCAUUUCUCUUUUAUUCGACGCCUUUGCUCUGCUAAUUGGCUUCAAAGUAUAAAAAACACUAUACAUCUACAAACACUGGAUGCCAAGAAAACAAAAAGAAAAAAACCUCCAAAUCUCAAAGAAAAGUGAAACCCUAACCCUAACCCUAGAGAUGGAAGAGAAGAACACGUACAACCAAAGGGCAAACUCCGCUAUAUUUAUAGAUGAGAAGCGAAACCCUAAUUCGGUCUGAAAUGACAA